GGGUUGUGAGGUUAAGCGACUAAGCGUACACGGUGGAUGCCCUGGCAGUCAGAGGCGAUGAAGGACGUGCUAAUCUGCGAUAAGCGUCGGUAAGGUGAUAUGAACCGUUAUAACCGGCGAUUUCCGAAUGGGGAAACCCAGUGUGAUUCGUCACACUAUCAUUAACUGAAUCCAUAGGUUAAUGAGGCGAACCGGGGGAACUGAAACAUCUAAGUACCCCGAGGAAAAGAAAUCAACCGAGAUUCCCCCAGUAGCGGCGAGCGAACGGGGAGCAGCCCAGAGCCUGAAUCAGUGUGUGUGUUAGUGGAAGCGUCUGGAAAGGCGCGCGAUACAGGGUGACAGCCCCGUACACAAAAAUGCACAUGCUGUGAGCUCGAUGAGUAGGGCGGGACACGUGGUAUCCUGUCUGAAUAUGGGGGGACCAUCCUCCAAGGCUAAAUACUCCUGACUGACCGAUAGUGAACCAGUACCGUGAGGGAAAGGCGAAAAGAACCCCGGCGAGGGGAGUGAAAAAGAACCUGAAACCGUGUACGUACAAGCAGUGGGAGCACGCUUAGGCGUGUGACUGCGUACCUUUUGUAUAAUGGGUCAGCGACUUAUAUUCUGUAGCAAGGUUAACCGAAUAGGGGAGCCGAAGGGAAACCGAGUCUUAACUGGGCGUUAAGUUGCAGGGUAUAGACCCGAAACCCGGUGAUCUAGCCAUGGGCAGGUUGAAGGUUGGGUAACACUAACUGGAGGACCGAACCGACUAAUGUUGAAAAAUUAGCGGAUGACUUGUGGCUGGGGGUGAAAGGCCAAUCAAACCGGGAGAUAGCUGGUUCUCCCCGAAAGCUAUUUAGGUAGCGCCUCGUGAACUCAUCUCCGGGGGUAGAGCACUGUUUCGGCAAGGGGGUCAUCCCGACUUACCAACCCGAUGCAAACUGCGAAUACCGGAGAAUGUUAUCACGGGAGACACACGGCGGGUGCUAACGUCCGUCGUGAAGAGGGAAACAACCCAGACCGCCAGCUAAGGUCCCAAAGUCAUGGUUAAGUGGGAAACGAUGUGGGAAGGCCCAGACAGCCAGGAUGUUGGCUUAGAAGCAGCCAUCAUUUAAAGAAAGCGUAAUAGCUCACUGGUCGAGUCGGCCUGCGCGGAAGAUGUAACGGGGCUAAACCAUGCACCGAAGCUGCGGCAGCGACGCUUAUGCGUUGUUGGGUAGGGGAGCGUUCUGUAAGCCUGUGAAGGUGUACUGUGAGGUAUGCUGGAGGUAUCAGAAGUGCGAAUGCUGACAUAAGUAACGAUAAAGCGGGUGAAAAGCCCGCUCGCCGGAAGACCAAGGGUUCCUGUCCAACGUUAAUCGGGGCAGGGUGAGUCGACCCCUAAGGCGAGGCCGAAAGGCGUAGUCGAUGGGAAACAGGUUAAUAUUCCUGUACUUGGUGUUACUGCGAAGGGGGGACGGAGAAGGCUAUGUUGGCCGGGCGACGGUUGUCCCGGUUUAAGCGUGUAGGCUGGUUUUCCAGGCAAAUCCGGAAAAUCAAGGCUGAGGCGUGAUGACGAGGCACUACGGUGCUGAAGCAACAAAUGCCCUGCUUCCAGGAAAAGCCUCUAAGCAUCAGGUAACAUCAAAUCGUACCCCAAACCGACACAGGUGGUCAGGUAGAGAAUACCAAGGCGCUUGAGAGAACUCGGGUGAAGGAACUAGGCAAAAUGGUGCCGUAACUUCGGGAGAAGGCACGCUGAUAUGUAGGUGAAGCGACUUGCUCGUGGAGCUGAAAUCAGUCGAAGAUACCAGCUGGCUGCAACUGUUUAUUAAAAACACAGCACUGUGCAAACACGAAAGUGGACGUAUACGGUGUGACGCCUGCCCGGUGCCGGAAGGUUAAUUGAUGGGGUCAGCGCAAGCGAAGCUCUUGAUCGAAGCCCCGGUAAACGGCGGCCGUAACUAUAACGGUCCUAAGGUAGCGAAAUUCCUUGUCGGGUAAGUUCCGACCUGCACGAAUGGCGUAAUGAUGGCCAGGCUGUCUCCACCCGAGACUCAGUGAAAUUGAACUCGCUGUGAAGAUGCAGUGUACCCGCGGCAAGACGGAAAGACCCCGUGAACCUUUACUAUAGCUUGACACUGAACAUUGAGCCUUGAUGUGUAGGAUAGGUGGGAGGCUUUGAAGUGUGGACGCCAGUCUGCAUGGAGCCGACCUUGAAAUACCACCCUUUAAUGUUUGAUGUUCUAACGUUGACCCGUAAUCCGGGUUGCGGACAGUGUCUGGUGGGUAGUUUGACUGGGGCGGUCUCCUCCUAAAGAGUAACGGAGGAGCACGAAGGUUGGCUAAUCCUGGUCGGACAUCAGGAGGUUAGUGCAAUGGCAUAAGCCAGCUUGACUGCGAGCGUGACGGCGCGAGCAGGUGCGAAAGCAGGUCAUAGUGAUCCGGUGGUUCUGAAUGGAAGGGCCAUCGCUCAACGGAUAAAAGGUACUCCGGGGAUAACAGGCUGAUACCGCCCAAGAGUUCAUAUCGACGGCGGUGUUUGGCACCUCGAUGUCGGCUCAUCACAUCCUGGGGCUGAAGUAGGUCCCAAGGGUAUGGCUGUUCGCCAUUUAAAGUGGUACGCGAGCUGGGUUUAGAACGUCGUGAGACAGUUCGGUCCCUAUCUGCCGUGGGCGCUGGAGAACUGAGGGGGGCUGCUCCUAGUACGAGAGGACCGGAGUGGACGCAUCACUGGUGUUCGGGUUGUCAUGCCAAUGGCACUGCCCGGUAGCUAAAUGCGGAAGAGAUAAGUGCUGAAAGCAUCUAAGCACGAAACUUGCCCCGAGAUGAGUUCUCCCUGACCCUUUAAGGGUCCUGAAGGAACGUUGAAGACGACGACGUUGAUAGGCCGGGUGUGUAAGCGCAGCGAUGCGUUGAGCUAACCGGUACUAAUGAACCGUGAGGCUUAACCUUACAACGCCGAAG
Molecule: ribosomal RNA, 2925 nt
Filed under: Escherichia coli
Lineage: Bacteria; Pseudomonadati; Pseudomonadota; Gammaproteobacteria; Enterobacterales; Enterobacteriaceae
Description: 23S ribosomal RNA
Rfam family: Bacterial large subunit ribosomal RNA
Source: RNAcentral